UCAACAGUUUCUAUCUCAUCAGUUUCCUCUUUCCACUUUCUUGUUAAAGCUUUGCUUUUUGUCCUCCCACAGCACAGCCUGGGUGUCAGUGGAGAGGGAAAGCCAUACAAAUCAUGAUACAGACAAACAAGUGGCAGCCCGAGAGGAACUAGACUCUGAGUCAUUCCAUACAGCCACAUCAGUCUCCUCUUGAGUCACCUUUAACAAGAUACUCCUGAAGGGUUCAACAGAGAAGAUGCAGAGGGUAUUUUCCUCCAGGAUGUCUUCAGGAGCAUCCAGAAUUUCUGAAGAAAAUCUCGAUGACAACCUUGAAAUAUCAAAGCAUCUGAAGAGGAUACUGGUGGACAAGUUUGUCCCUGACUUGAAUACUGAAGAUUUGAUGAUGAUCAAGCAGGCCAUGGUUUAUCUUGAGAGGCACACCCACCCGCCUAGCCUGGGACAACAACAACUGAAAUGAAAACUAGACACAAU
Long non-coding RNA from Chrysemys picta bellii (western painted turtle), 471 nucleotides. RefSeq lists it as uncharacterized. NCBI's taxonomy places the organism in Eukaryota, Metazoa, Chordata, Testudines, Emydidae. The record is from RefSeq and is a predicted model, not a curated record.